CCGACUGAAGUGCAAAAUAGAUUGACAGUCACGAAAACCAGUCGGAAUUUCAAGAUUGUUUACGAUUUAUUGAAUCUACGGUCGCGCUAAGUCUAAAAAAACCCCGCCGCGAGUGAAUUUUAAGUCAUAUCCGUCGUGCCGACUGAUUUUUCCGUGAUUUUAAUUUGCCUUUCAUGGAUUAGCCCCGUGUCCGAGUAGCAGAUCGUCAAAUCGGAGAAUUGGACUGGGUUCAACUGAAUGGAAAUCCUACUCUAUAGAAACAGAAAUUAAAAUAACAAUGAACAGCAAGAAACAGUCACCAACAAAGAAGAAAAGGGACAGAAAUACACUGGUGGCCAAAAGUAGAUUGACAACUACUUAUUUUUCAAAUUUGUUUAUAUCAUGGUUUAGAAAAUGAUAAAUUAGGUGGAACAAUACCCAAUUAAAAAACAACAAAGCCUAUUUGUAAUGUUUAAUUAUAUUUAAACUAUUUAUUGGUAAUACCCAAUUUUAUUAAAAAAAAAAUUAAAAAAACUAUACAAUUUUCAAGUGGCCAAAAUUAAAUUGACAAAUUCAGAGCUUACUAAAAUAAGAAUAAGUAUAGAAAAUUUAAAGGGUUUUAUUCAAUAAUGUGUUGCAUAUAGCCUCUAUUUCUUCUCACUUCCACCAAUCUUUUGGGCAUUGACCUAAUUAAACUGUCAAUAUAGGACGUGUCAAUGGAUAUCCAGCAUGCCUUCAAAGCUUCAAAAAGUUAUGUUUAUUUUUGAAAUUUUUACAUCGGAUGUGAGGAUCAAUUUAAUCCCAAAUGUUCUCGAUCGGAUUUAGUUCCGGUGACUGUGACGGCCAUUUGAUAACAUUAAUUUUUUCUUGGGUCAACCAUUGCUUAACGACCUUGGAUGCGUGUUUCGGAUCAUUUCAUGUUGAAUGUAGUGGUUGAGUGGCAUAACUUCAUCAGCGUAAGGUACCAUAACAUCCUGCAGUGUGUCUUUAUACAUGAAACGAUCCAUCGUGCCUUCUAUCAAGUGUAGUGGACCCAUCCCAUAGCCCGAAAAA
Long non-coding RNA from Anthonomus grandis grandis, 1032 nucleotides. RefSeq lists it as uncharacterized. The record is from RefSeq and is a predicted model, not a curated record. The transcript is spliced from 2 exons. Lineage: Eukaryota; Metazoa; Arthropoda; Insecta; Coleoptera; Curculionidae.